RNAcentral lists this ribosomal RNA (446 nucleotides) under uncultured bacterium. RNAcentral describes it as "bacterial SSU rRNA". It matches the Rfam family "Bacterial small subunit ribosomal RNA", at positions 28 to 517 of the family's 1533-position model. The record is from RNAcentral.
GACGAACGCUGGCGGUGUGCUUCACACAUGCAAGUCGAACGAGGUAGCAAUACCUAGUGGCGGACGGGUGAGUAACGCGUGGGAAUCUGCCUUUAGAUGGGGGAUAACGGGUCGAAAGACUCGCUAAUACCGCAUAUGACGAAGUUGAAAGGAGUAAUCCGUCUAAAGAUGAGCCGCGUCCGAUUAGCUAGUUGGUAGAGUAAAAGCCUACCAAGGCGACGAUCGGUAGCUGGUCUGAGAGGAGUGAUCAGCCACAAUGGGACUAGAGACACGGCCCAUACUCCUACGGGAGGCAGCAGUGGGAAUUUUACGCAAUGGGCGAAAGCCUGACGUAGCGACACCGCGUGAGCGAAGAAGCCCCUUGGGGUGUAAAGCUCUGUCAGCUGGAACGAAAAAAAUGACGGUACCAGCAGAGGAAGCAUCGGCUAACUACGUGCCAGCAGCCG